This 493-nucleotide ribosomal RNA is filed under the name uncultured bacterium. Its description in RNAcentral is "partial 16S ribosomal RNA". It matches the Rfam family "Bacterial small subunit ribosomal RNA", at positions 30 to 523 of the family's 1533-position model. The record is from RNAcentral.
AUUGAACGCUGGCGGCAUGCCUUACACAUGCAAGUCGAACGGUAACAGGUUAAGCUGACGAGUGGCUAACGGGUGAGUAAUAUAUCGGAACGUGCCCAGUCGCGGGGGAUAACGUAACGAAAGCUAAGCUAAUACCGCAUACGAUCAACGGAUGAAAGCGGGGUAUCGCAAGACCGCGCGCGAUUGGAGCGGUCGACAUCAGAUUAGGUUGUUGGUGAGGUAAAAGCUCACCAAGCCUGCGAUCUGUAGCUGGUCUGAGAGGACGACCAGCCACACUGGAACUGAGACACGGCCCAGACUCCUACGGGAGGCAGCAGUGGGGAAUUUUGGACAAUGGACGCAAGUCUGAUCCAGCAAUGCCGCGUGCAGGACGAAGGCCUUCGGGUUGUAAACUGCUUUUGUACGGAACGAAACGGUGAGCUCUAAUACAGUUUGCUAAUGACGGUACCGUAAGAAUAAGCACCGGCUAACUACGUGCCAGCAGCCGCCGUAA